This is a long non-coding RNA of Salvia splendens (bonfire salvia), 1268 nucleotides long. RefSeq lists it as uncharacterized. The transcript has 7 exons. NCBI's taxonomy places the organism in Eukaryota, Viridiplantae, Streptophyta, Magnoliopsida, Lamiales, Lamiaceae. The record is from RefSeq and is a predicted model, not a curated record.
GACUGUACCUCUCCCAUCCGUCUCUCCCAUUUCAAAUACUCCAUCUACUAACUUAUUUUGAAGACUCUUAACGGUCCAUCUCUCCGGCGAAACUCGGCACCACCACCACCGUCGCUGAUUCUCUCCCUCUCUCAAUCCCACUCUCUUUCCCUCUCUAUUCUCACAAUUCCCAAAUUAGGAUGCAUCUCUCUUUCUCCCAAAAAUCUGACUCUCUCAUCUCCGGCGAAACUCGUCUCCAGCAUAUCACCACCGCAACUUCUCUCUCUCACUCACCCUGCUCUGGCCUCCACCUCCUGUCAGGUUGUGCGAAAUUUCUCGUUAAAAUUACCUAGAAACCCUACAUGAAAAAGCGGUGCCUCUAUCUCCCUCCUCCAACGGCACUGCACCCCCCCUCUCCAUCUCCAUCUCCUUCUUUCUCUCUCAAUUGGCGGAAUCGACUCGUGUUUUCCCAACACCAAGAGUCAUAGCCCUCCCAGAUUUCACGCCCCCGGCCUGCUCGCCCGGAGAAGAAAGCCGAGGACGUGGCUGUCUCGGAGUUUGGUCCCCACCGCGGCUGCUACUCGCCAUCAUCAGACGCCGUCGUCUCCUGCAGCAGGUCGCUGGUCCGGAUUCGUGGGCGGCGUCGGGUGGCCCCUGACUCGCGGCCUUGCCGCCGCCGCCAGCUGCGCGAACCCGUCGCCUUCCGCCCUUCCGUCUGUGUGAUCAUGCGUGCAAAUUAAGCUAGAAAAAGUGUUUCUUUAAUUGUCUAGACGGAAUACAUGUCACCAUCGACCUCCUCACGGACUCGCCGUCUGAUUUCGUUGCUGCUGAUUCUCGCCGAGCGGUGAGAGGCGCUCCAGGAUCCACUGAGCAGUCGCUUCGGUCGGUGUCAUACUCCAGCCAUCUCGGCUGCAUUGUCAUACUCCAGCCAUCUCGACUUCUCGGCUUAGGGAAGCUUUAGCAACAAUCUUUCUACUCCCUCUGGAGGGUUUGUAUCUGGCUGGUGCUUGUCUAACGUUCUAGUUUGUGAAGAGGAUGCACCAUUAGAUGUACCUCGUUCAUCUUAUGCUCAUCAGAGAACGUCUUUGUUGAUUAAAGUGAUUGCAAACCUUGAUUGCUUUGUUCCUGAUGUAUACCAGGAUGAGAAGGAUUUGUUUCUCAACAUGUUCAUUUGGUUCAUAGAGAAGGACUAUUAGAAACUGUCAGAUGACAAAGUGUCCACAGUUCACUGUUAAGUCUUUAGUUCCAGGAUUUUUGAAUGAAGAUGAUGUACAACAGCUGAACUAAUU